Molecule: long non-coding RNA, 481 nt
Organism: Solanum dulcamara
Lineage: Eukaryota; Viridiplantae; Streptophyta; Magnoliopsida; Solanales; Solanaceae
Exons: 3
Source: RefSeq, a predicted model, not a curated record
CAACGGCGUAAACACGAAAAUAAACGCAGAAACUGGGAGAAAAAAAAAUACGGAGGAAGAAAGAAAAGAAAAGGGAAAAGAAAAUUAAAGGAGAAGAGAAAAAUAAGGAUUUUCAUUCCAAAGCGUCAAGAUUGAAAUUGGUCUGAGGCAUUGAAGAAAGGAAAGACAUUGGUGGAUUAGCUUGCUUUACUUCGGUUCUUCGAUUGAGCGAGUCUUCCAUCGGCUUCGACUUGACUUCAGCUCUAGUCAAUCUUCAGUUCAUAAGAUAUCAGGGUGAGCUAUCCUUCUAGCUGACGAUGAAUUCUCUUAGUCACGACAUGAUGUCCUUAGUGUUCGGACACGAACUAUGUCACUUAUUUUAUUUUAGUGUUUGACAUUCUAGACUUAGUAUUUUAGAAGUUAGAUGUCCUUAAUGUGAUGACUUUCAGGUUUUGGGGAAAAUGUAUUUAUUUGAGCUUCCGCAUUAUUGUUAUAUUUAUUA